RNAcentral lists this small RNA (155 nucleotides) under Theobroma cacao (cacao). Its description in RNAcentral is "sRNA Tc02v2_g019300". The record is from RNAcentral. Lineage: Eukaryota; Viridiplantae; Streptophyta; Magnoliopsida; Malvales; Malvaceae.
GAGAAAUUCACAAAAUUUCAAAGAAUCAAGUGACAAAAGGUGGUGAAUCCUCCGGUAAAGGCAAAGAAGUUGUACCCGAAGUCCGAGACUAGGAGUACUUCAACUCCCGAUACUGCUCAGGAUAGUUUGUAGAUAGCUGAUAUCGUCGAAGGCUA